This 497-nucleotide ribosomal RNA is filed under the name uncultured bacterium. Its description in RNAcentral is "partial 16S ribosomal RNA". It matches the Rfam family "Bacterial small subunit ribosomal RNA", at positions 28 to 507 of the family's 1533-position model. The record is from RNAcentral.
GAUGAACGCUGGCGGCGUGCCUAAUACAUGCAAGUCGAGCGAACAGACGAGGAGCUUGCUUUUCUGACGUUAGCGGCGGACGGGUGAGUAACACGUGGAUAACCUACCUAUAAGACUGGGAUAACUUCGGGAAACCGGAGCUAAUACCGGAUAAUAUUUUGAACCGCAUGGUUCAAUAGUGAAAGACGGUCUUGCUGUCACUUAUAGAUGGAUCCGCGCCGCAUUAGCUAGUUGGUAAGGUAACGGCUUACCAAGGCAACGAUGCGUAGCCGACCUGAGAGGGUGAUCGGCCACACUGGAACUGAGACACGGUCCAGACUCCUACGGGAGGCAGCAGUAGGGAAUCUUCCGCAAUGGGCGAAAGCCUGACGGAGCAACGCCGCGUGAGUGAUGAAGGUCUUCGGAUCGUAAAACUCUGUUAUUAGGGAAGAACAUAUGUGUAAGUAACUGUGCACAUCUUGACGGUACCUAAUCAGAAAGCCACGGCUAACUACGUG